UGGUGUUUAUUGCGGUGAGGGUCCACCUGUUCCCAUUCCGAACACAGUAGUUAAGCUCAUUUGCGCCGAAAAUACUUGGCUGGCGACGGCCCGGGAAGAUAGG
RNAcentral lists this ribosomal RNA (103 nucleotides) under bovine gut metagenome. The record is from RNAcentral.